This 253-nucleotide ribosomal RNA is filed under the name uncultured bacterium. RNAcentral describes it as "partial 16S ribosomal RNA". It matches the Rfam family "Bacterial small subunit ribosomal RNA", at positions 524 to 776 of the family's 1533-position model. The record is from RNAcentral.
UACGUAGGGGGCUAGCGUUGUCCGGAAUCAUUGGGCGUAAAGAGCGCGUAGGCGGCCAGAUAAGUCCGGUGUGAAAGUCAAAGGCUCAACCUUUGAAAGCCGAUGGAUACUGCGGAGCUAGAGUACGGAAGAGGCGAGUGGAAUUCCUGGUGUAGCGGUGGAAUGCGCAGAUAUCAGGAGGAACACCAAUAGCGAAGGCAGCUCGCUGGGACGUUACUGACACUGAGGCGCGAAAGCGUGGGGAGCGAACAGG